This 1415-nucleotide ribosomal RNA is filed under the name Salmonella enterica subsp. enterica serovar Kentucky. RNAcentral's name for it is "partial 23S ribosomal RNA". It matches the Rfam family "Bacterial large subunit ribosomal RNA", at positions 1525 to 2916 of the family's 2925-position model. Lineage: Bacteria; Pseudomonadati; Pseudomonadota; Gammaproteobacteria; Enterobacterales; Enterobacteriaceae. The record is from RNAcentral.
UGGUUUUCCAGGCAAAUCCGGAAAAUCAAGGCUGAGGCGUGACGACGAGGCACUACGGUGCUGAAGCAACAAAUGCCCUGCUUCCAGGAAAAGCCUCUAAGCAUCAGGUAACAUCAAAUCGUACCCCAAACCGACACAGGUGGUCAGGUAGAGAAUACCAAGGCGCUUGAGAGAACUCGGGUGAAGGAACUAGGCAAAAUGGUGCCGUAACUUCGGGAGAAGGCACGCUGACACGUAGGUGAAGUGAUUUACUCAUGGAGCUGAAGUCAGUCGAAGAUACCAGCUGGCUGCAACUGUUUAUUAAAAACACAGCACUGUGCAAACACGAAAGUGGACGUAUACGGUGUGACGCCUGCCCGGUGCCGGAAGGUUAAUUGAUGGGGUCAGCGCAAGCGAAGCUCCUGAUCGAAGCCCCGGUAAACGGCGGCCGUAACUAUAACGGUCCUAAGGUAGCGAAAUUCCUUGUCGGGUAAGUUCCGACCUGCACGAAUGGCGUAAUGAUGGCCAGGCUGUCUCCACCCGAGACUCAGUGAAAUUGAACUCGCUGUGAAGAUGCAGUGUACCCGCGGCAAGACGGAAAGACCCCGUGAACCUUUACUAUAGCUUGACACUGAACAUUGAGCCUUGAUGUGUAGGAUAGGUGGGAGGCUUUGAAGUGUGGACGCCAGUCUGCAUGGAGCCGACCUUGAAAUACCACCCUUUAAUGUUUGAUGUUCUAACGUGGACCCGUAAUCCGGGUUGCGGACAGUGUCUGGUGGGUAGUUUGACUGGGGCGGUCUCCUCCUAAAGAGUAACGGAGGAGCACGAAGGUUGGCUAAUCCUGGUCGGACAUCAGGAGGUUAGUGCAAUGGCAUAAGCCAGCUUGACUGCGAGCGUGACGGCGCGAGCAGGUGCGAAAGCAGGUCAUAGUGAUCCGGUGGUUCUGAAUGGAAGGGCCAUCGCUCAACGGAUAAAAGGUACUCCGGGGAUAACAGGCUGAUACCGCCCAAGAGUUCAUAUCGACGGCGGUGUUUGGCACCUCGAUGUCGGCUCAUCACAUCCUGGGGCUGAAGUAGGUCCCAAGGGUAUGGCUGUUCGCCAUUUAAAGUGGUACGCGAGCUGGGUUUAGAACGUCGUGAGACAGUUCGGUCCCUAUCUGCCGUGGGCGCUGGAGAACUGAGGGGGGCUGCUCCUAGUACGAGAGGACCGGAGUGGACGCAUCACUGGUGUUCGGGUUGUCAUGCCAAUGGCACUGCCCGGUAGCUAAAUGCGGAAGAGAUAAGUGCUGAAAGCAUCUAAGCACGAAACUUGCCCCGAGAUGAGUUCUCCCUGAGACUUAGAGUCUCCUGAAGGAACGUUGAAGACGACGACGUUGAUAGGCCGGGUGUGUAAGCGCAGCGAUGCGUUGAGCUAACCGGUACUAAUGAACCGUGAGG